RNAcentral lists this ribosomal RNA (230 nucleotides) under uncultured Alicycliphilus sp. RNAcentral describes it as "partial 16S ribosomal RNA". It matches the Rfam family "Bacterial small subunit ribosomal RNA", at positions 550 to 774 of the family's 1533-position model. The record is from RNAcentral. Lineage: Bacteria; Pseudomonadati; Pseudomonadota; Betaproteobacteria; Burkholderiales; Comamonadaceae.
AGCUGAUCACUGGGUGUAAAGCGUGCGCAGGCGGUUUUGUAAGACAGAGGUGAAAUCCCCGGGCUCAACCUGGGAACUGCCUUUGUGACUGCAAGGCUGGAGUGCGGCAGAGGGGGAUGGAAUUCCGCGUGUAGCAGUGAAAUGCGUAGAUAUGCGAAGGAACACCGAUGGCGAAGGCAAUCCCCUGGGCCUGCACUGACGCUCAUGCACGAAAGCGUGGGGAGCAAACA